Molecule: ribosomal RNA, 497 nt
Filed under: uncultured bacterium
Lineage: Bacteria
Description: partial 16S ribosomal RNA
Rfam family: Bacterial small subunit ribosomal RNA
Source: RNAcentral
GAUGAACGCUGGCGGCGUGCCUAAUACAUGCAAGUCGAGCGAACAGACGAGGAGCUUGCUCCUCGGACGUUAGCGGCGGACGGGUGAGAAACACGUGGAUAACCUACCUAUAAGACUGGGAUAACUUCGGGAAACCGGAUCUAAUACCGGAUAAUAUAUUGAACCGCAUGGUUCAAUAGUGAAAGACGGUUUUGCUGGCACUUAUAGAUGGAUCCGCGCCGCAUUAGCUAGUUGGUAAGGUAACGGCUUACCAAGGCAACGAUGCGUAGCCGACCUGAGAGGGGGAUAGGCGACAUUGGAACUGAGACACGGUCAAGACGCCUGCGGGAGGCCGCAGUAGGGAAUCGUCCGCAAUGGGCGAAAGCCUGACGGAGUAACGCCGAGCGAGUGAUGAAGGUCUUCGGAGCGUAAAACUGUGUUAUUAGGGAAGAACAAAUGUGUAAGUAAAUAUGCACGGAUUGACGGUACCUAAUAAGAAAGCAACGGCUAACUACGUG